Molecule: ribosomal RNA, 616 nt
Filed under: uncultured bacterium
Lineage: Bacteria
Description: bacterial SSU rRNA
Rfam family: Bacterial small subunit ribosomal RNA
Source: RNAcentral
CGAGCGGGGGUUAUUGAGAGCUUGCUUUCAAUAACCUUAGCGGCGGACGGGUGAGGAACACGUGGGUAAUCUGCCCUUUGCAGAGGGAUAACGUCAAGAAAUUGACGCUAAUACCUCAUAAGCUCCCGGCACGGCAUCGUGGCGAGAGAAAAGAUUUAUCGGCAAAGGAGGAGCCCGCGGCUGAUUAGCUGGUUGGGGAGGUAACGGCUCACCAAGGCGACGAUCAGUAGCCGACCUGAGAGGGUGAUCGGCCACAUUGGAACUGAGACACGGUCCAAACUCCUACGGGAGGCAGCAGUGGGGAAUAUUGCGCAAUGGGGGGAACCCUGACGCACCAACGCCGCGUGAAGGAGGAAGUAUUUCGGUAUUGUAGACUUCCAUCAGCCCGGAAGAAAGAAAUGACGGUACCUGCAUAAGAAGCCCCGGCUAGUUAAAAACCCGCAGCCGCGGUAAUACGUAAGGGGCAAGCGUUAUCCGGAUUUACUGGGUGUAAAGGGUGAGUAGGCGGUUCGGCAAGUCAUAUGUGAAAUACCUGGGCUCAACCCAGGAACCGCCUCAGAAACUGUCGGACUUGAGUACAGGAGACCCAAGCGGAAUUCCCAGUGUAGCGGUGAAA